ACCGAUGACGGCGAUUACAACGUCAAACUGCGCAACCUCGUUCGCUUCCUCGAAGACGGCGACAAGACGAAGAUCACGUUGCGUUUCCGGGGCCGCGAAAUGGCUCACCAGGAAAUCGGCAUGCGGAUGCUCGAACGUCUGCGCACCGACCUCGAAGAGGUGGGCCAGGUCGAGCAGAUGCCGAAGAUGGAAGGGCGCCAGAUGAUCAUGGUGCUCGCGCCGAAGAAAAAGAAGUAAGCACGCGCCGUGCGUCCGCGGACGCACGGCGGGUGAGGCAGGAUCACCAAAGCAGGAUCAACAAGGUUGUGCGCUUCGCCGUACCGGCGA
RNAcentral lists this unclassified non-coding RNA (327 nucleotides) under Paraburkholderia caballeronis. RNAcentral describes it as "Long range pseudoknot". The record is from RNAcentral. Lineage: Bacteria; Pseudomonadati; Pseudomonadota; Betaproteobacteria; Burkholderiales; Burkholderiaceae.